RNAcentral lists this ribosomal RNA (723 nucleotides) under Vibrio sp. 13H06. RNAcentral describes it as "bacterial SSU rRNA". It matches the Rfam family "Bacterial small subunit ribosomal RNA", at positions 33 to 735 of the family's 1533-position model. The record is from RNAcentral. Lineage: Bacteria; Pseudomonadati; Pseudomonadota; Gammaproteobacteria; Vibrionales; Vibrionaceae.
ACGCUGGCGGCAGGCCUAACACAUGCAAGUCGAGCGGAAACGACACUAACAAUCCUUCGGGUGCGUUAAUGGGCGUCGAGCGGCGGACGGGUGAGUAAUGCCUAGGAAAUUGCCUUGAUGUGGGGGAUAACCAUUGGAAACGAUGGCUAAUACCGCAUAAUGCCUACGGGCCAAAGAGGGGGACCUUCGGGCCUCUCGCGUCAAGAUAUGCCUAGGUGGGAUUAGCUAGUUGGUGAGGUAAUGGCUCACCAAGGCGACGAUCCCUAGCUGGUCUGAGAGGAUGAUCAGCCACACUGGAACUGAGACACGGUCCAGACUCCUACGGGAGGCAGCAGUGGGGAAUAUUGCACAAUGGGCGAAAGCCUGAUGCAGCCAUGCCGCGUGUAUGAAGAAGGCCUUCGGGUUGUAAAGUACUUUCAGUUGUGAGGAAGGGGGUAKYGUUAAUAGCGSYAYCUCUUGACGUUAGCAACAGAAGAAGCACCGGCUAACUCCGUGCCAGCAGCCGCGGUAAUACGGAGGGUGCGAGCGUUAAUCGGAAUUACUGGGCGUAAAGCGCAUGCAGGUGGUUCAUUAAGUCAGAUGUGAAAGCCCGGGGCUCAACCUCGGAACUGCAUUUGAAACUGGUGAACUAGAGUACUGUAGAGGGGGGUAGAAUUUCAGGUGUAGCGGUGAAAUGCGUAGAGAUCUGAAGGAAUACCAGUGGCGAAGGCGGCCCCCUGGACA